UUUACAGAGUUUUUUUGGCAUUCUGUCCACCUCCACUUCCUCUCUCUCUCUCUCUCUCACUGUAGCUUUGCUGUAGGAGGUGGGCAUACUGCCAACAGACCACUGUUAG
Molecule: microRNA precursor, 109 nt
Filed under: Medicago truncatula (barrel medic)
Lineage: Eukaryota; Viridiplantae; Streptophyta; Magnoliopsida; Fabales; Fabaceae
Description: miRNA gene1149
Rfam family: MIR394 microRNA precursor family
Source: Rfam by way of RNAcentral